GACGAACGCUGGCGGCGUGCUUAACACAUGCAAGUCGAACGGUGACCUCGGAGCUUGCUCCGGGUGAUCAGUGGCGAACGGGUGAGUAACACGUGAGUAACCUGCCCCUUACUCUGGAUAACUCCGGGAAACCGGUGCUAAUACUGGAUAUGACUCGAGCGUGCAUGCGCAUCGGGUGGAAAGAUUUAUCGGUGAGGGAUGGACUCGCGGCCUAUCAGCUUGUUGGUGGGGUAAUGGCCUACCAAGGCGACGACGGGUAGCCGGCCUGAGAGGGCGACCGGCCACACUGGGACUGAGACACGGCCCAGACUCCUACGGGAGGCAGCAGUGGGGAAUAUUGCACAAUGGGCGAAAGCCUGAUGCAGCGACGCCGCGUGAGGGAUGACGGCCUUCGGGUUGUAAACCUCUUUCAGUAGGGAAGAAGCGAAGGUGACGGUACCUACAAAAGAAGCACCGGCUAACUACGUGCCAGCCGCCGCAGUAA
Molecule: ribosomal RNA, 484 nt
Filed under: uncultured bacterium
Lineage: Bacteria
Description: partial 16S ribosomal RNA
Rfam family: Bacterial small subunit ribosomal RNA
Source: RNAcentral